RNAcentral lists this transfer RNA (76 nucleotides) under Pseudomonadota bacterium. RNAcentral describes it as "Proteobacteria bacterium tRNA-Ala". It matches the Rfam family "tRNA". Rfam says of the family: Transfer RNA (tRNA) molecules are approximately 80 nucleotides in length. Lineage: Bacteria; Pseudomonadati; Pseudomonadota. RNAcentral also lists the same sequence under 2 other names. The record is from RNAcentral.
GGGGAUGUAGCUCAGUUGGGAGAGCGUCGCGUUCGCAAUGCGAAGGUCGAGAGUUCGAUCCUCUUCAUCUCCACCA